This 71-nucleotide transfer RNA is filed under the name Camelus bactrianus (Bactrian camel). It matches the Rfam family "tRNA". Rfam says of the family: Transfer RNA (tRNA) molecules are approximately 80 nucleotides in length. Their secondary structure includes four short double-helical elements and three loops (D, anti-codon, and T loops). Further hydrogen bonds mediate the characteristic L-shaped molecular structure. tRNAs have two regions of fundamental functional importance: the anti-codon, which is responsible for specific mRNA codon recognition, and the 3' end, to which the tRNAs corresponding amino acid is attached (by aminoacyl-tRNA synthetases). tRNAs cope with the degeneracy of the genetic code in two manners: having more than one tRNA (with a specific anti-codon) for a particular amino acid; and 'wobble' base-pairing, i.e. permitting non-standard base-pairing at the 3rd anti-codon position. The record is from Rfam by way of RNAcentral. Lineage: Eukaryota; Metazoa; Chordata; Mammalia; Artiodactyla; Camelidae. RNAcentral also lists the same sequence under 2 other names.
GAGGGUCUAGCUCAGUGGUAGAGCCAUGCUUAGCACGCAUGAAGUCCUGAGUGCAAUCCCCAGUACCUCCA